Long non-coding RNA from Monodelphis domestica (gray short-tailed opossum), 2511 nucleotides. NCBI's taxonomy places the organism in Eukaryota, Metazoa, Chordata, Mammalia, Didelphimorphia, Didelphidae. The record is from Ensembl.
AUGCCUACUCCUUUGACUUCUUUCUCUGAAUCUGUCUCUUCACUGGAACCUAGAACUAUCUUCAUCUCUCCCUCUAUGCCUCCUAUGCCUUCACACUCAUCUCUACCUCCCCCUAUAUCUACUCUAAAACAUUCCCCACUCUCUUGUUCUGUACCUAUGUCCAAAUAUAAACCUAUUAAUAGACUCUUUCCAUCUAGCUCUAAAUCUGCUUUGUUCCUAUCUGCGUCUAAUCUUCAAAUUAACCCUAAAUGUCCAGUUCACAGCAAAUGGAUAUCGCAAUCUAUGUCAGAAUGUCCCACUUUCUGUCCCAUCUCUGAAUCUACACCUAUGGGGCCAACUCCAUUUGUUUGUGCACCUUUGCAUAGGGCUCCCUCUAACUGUAUCAUUUCUUCUCUUAGUCCGAAAUCUAUUCCUGUCUCUAAAGCCUCUACAGUGACAACUGUGACCCCACCAAAAACUACCUGUGCUUCUCUCCCUGUGUUUCCCUGUAAUUGUGUCUGUAUUUCUACCUCGACAUCUACACUUCUGCCAGAACCUGCCGAUCCCCCAUCUAACUGUGUAGUUGUCAAUGGAAAUCCCUGUAAUUGUGUCUGUUCCUCUACUACAACAUCUAUACUCAACCCAGAAUCAACUGCGCCCAACUCUACCCAUACCAAUGAGAAUCCCUGUAAUUGCGUCUGUAACUCUACUUCAACAUCUACACUCAACCCAUCAGUUGCGCCCAACUCUGCCCACGCCAAAGAGAAUCUCUGUAACUGUGUCUGUACCUCUACUUCAACGUCCACACUUUUGCCCCAAUCUUCACCUGCCUCUAAUGGUGCAUUUUUCACUAGGGAUCGCUGUAAUUGUGUCUGUGCCUCUACUUCAACACCUACGUUCUUCCCCAUGUCUUCCCCCUCUACAUCCACCCCCAAAGAUCCCUGUGUCCUUUUCCCUGGGUUUCCCCUUAAUUGCACCUGUGCUGCUACUUCUACCUCUAACCUCGUUCCCAAAUUGAAUACAAACAAAGCUACAUCUAUCUGUGCAUUAUUCCCUGGGACUACCACUAAUUGUAUCAGUAACUUGGCAUCUCUGCUUAGCCCCUUAUCGCCUAUAACCAGAUCUACAUCUAUGAGUGCAUCAUUCCCUGGGAAUCCCCCUCCUUUUGAUGAUGCUUCCCCCAUACCUACCCUUAACCCCAAAGCUGAUAAAGCUUCAUUUCCCUUUGAAUUCCCAGGGUUUCAUCCUAAAUGUAUUUGUAAUUUUAAUUUACCAGCUGCACUUAACCCCAAAACUGUUCAAGACACUUCAUGUGCAGUAUCCCCUGGGAAUUCCUCCAAUGCUAUCAAUAACUCAACAUCAACAUCGACCCUUAGUCCUACAUUUAAUCGAGCUACAUCUACUAGUGCAUUAUUCCCCGAGAAUCCCGUUAAUUGUGUCUGUAGCUCUACAUCGACAUCGACUCUUAGCCCCCAUUUUAAUCGAGCUACAUCUACCUGUUUGUUAUCGGAUGUGAAUUCUGCUAUUUGUAUCAAUACUUCUACCUCCACAUCGACACUUAACCCUCAAUUUAAUCGAGCUACAUCUACUUGUGCAUUAGCCCCUGAGAAUGCUGCCGUUUGUGAAAGUAAUUCUACCCUGGCAUCUGACAUUAACCCCCCAUCUCCUCCUCUAACCCGGGCAUCAUUUCCCGGGAGCCCCACCGAACGUACCUGUGCCUCUAAUUCGGCAACUACAUUUAACCUCAAAAAUCCUCUAGCAUCCAGAACUGCAUCUACUAAUGAAUUCUCUCCUGGGGUUCCCGAUAAUGAUUUCACUAACCCUACCUCAAAGUCUCCACUUGGCUCCAAAUCUAGUCCUCUCUCCAGAGCUUCAGCUAGCCGUAUAUUAUUCCCUGAACAUCAUAAUAUUCCCCCGGAGGAACCUACAGUCUGCCCAAAAUCUACUUCUAGUGCCUCAACCACUAAGGUUGGGACUACACCUAAAUAUAUCAGUCCACUUUUCCCAGGUUUUCCCUUUAAUGGCCCUGCUGCCCUGUUAGCUAAAAUCUUCUCAAGAUCGAAUCCACCUAGAGUCACACCUACAGGUCCCUGCUGCGUACCUCUACGUAUUCAUCCCUCCAAUGAAAACUCAGGCUCUACCUCGGCUAAACCUAAUCAAAAUUGUGAGCCUAAUCUAUCAUCCCUUAAAAAUAUAACAGACUGUAAAUUUUUUGGUUCUAAACUCUCUUUAUCUGGGCAGAAAUCUCCUCCUCUCUCUAAAUUAACCACUAAAACUCAGCCUAUAUCUAUACCCCGCUGUACAUCUUUAGGAACUUCUACCUCUACACCUUUUUACACAGAUAUAUCUCCAACUUCAAGCAACUGUGACUUGCCACCUACAUGCCCAACUUCAUCUUCACCUGCCCCUUUCUGUCUCUAUGACUCUGACUCUACCCCUGCCCCUUCUCCACUCCCAGAACGUAAUUUCAUAGCACUCUCCUCUGAUGAACUCUCUGAGGUUGACACUCCACCUUUCUCAUCAUCUCCCUGA